Molecule: non-coding RNA, 75 nt
Organism: Mycena rosella
Lineage: Eukaryota; Fungi; Basidiomycota; Agaricomycetes; Agaricales; Mycenaceae
Source: the annotation of a GenBank genome assembly
UCAGACGUAGUGUAACGGUAACAUUGCCUCAUCUUUUGACCGAGGCAGCCCCGGGUUCGACUCCCGGUGUCUGAU